UGCAUCUUCCCAAGUUGCUUCUGAGGAUGGUAGAUUGGUCCACUGAAUCAGCCACUGCACAACAGGUUCAUUGUUUCUUGGGAUCAUUCUCCUUUCCAAAAUUGCCUCUGGUGCUACUUUCAUGAUUCCUUUUUCAUCUACCAGCGGCAAAUCAGGUGUUGGCACUACUGUUGGACCAAUAUGCUUUUUGAGCUGGCUGACAUGAAACACUGGAUGUAAUGUGCAGUUGUCCGGUAAGAGUAACUUGUAUGCUGUAUUACCAAUCUUUUCUAGGACUCUAAAUGGUCCAUAAUACUUAGGAUGCAGCUUCAAGGAAUUGUGCAAGCUCAAAGAUGUAUGCCUGUAUGGUUGCAGCUUCAAAUAAACCCUAGAGCCAAUUUCCAAUUCUCUUUCAGACCUGUUUUGUCAGCCUGAUGUUUAAUUCUAGCUUGGGCUUUUGCAAGAUUGUCUCUGAUGAGUUGGUUGGCCAAUUGUCUAUUAUGCAGAAUUUCCCUGGCAUUGUCAUUGGGGCAAUCUGGCAAAACCACUUCUGCCACCAUUGGAGGAGGAAAGCCAUACAAAGCUUGGAAGGGAGUCAUGUUGAGAGAUGUGUGAUAAGAAGUAUUGUACCACCACUCAGCUGAUGAGAGCCAAUAGAACCACCUUCUAGGAGCAGUGAAACACAUGCACCUAAGAUAGUUUUCCAAGCACUGAUUUACUCUUUCAGUUUGUCCAUCAGUUUGUGGAUGAUAUGCUGAACUUAAAUGUAAUUUGAUGCCCAUUGAUUUGAAAAGUGAUUGCCAAAUGUGACUUGUGAAGAUUCUGUCUCUAUCAGUCACCAUAACCAUUGGUGGUCCAUGCAACUUGAACACAU
This 853-nucleotide long non-coding RNA is filed under the name Setaria italica (foxtail millet). RNAcentral's name for it is "long non-coding RNA (SITA_LNC005976)". The record is from RNAcentral. Lineage: Eukaryota; Viridiplantae; Streptophyta; Magnoliopsida; Poales; Poaceae.